RNAcentral lists this ribosomal RNA (501 nucleotides) under uncultured bacterium. Its description in RNAcentral is "bacterial SSU rRNA". It matches the Rfam family "Bacterial small subunit ribosomal RNA", at positions 28 to 517 of the family's 1533-position model. The record is from RNAcentral.
GAUGAACGCUAGCUACAGGCUUAACACAUGCAAGUCGAGGGGAGACGGCAGCUUAGCUCGCUAAGCUGGACGUCGACCGGCGCACGGGUGAGUAACGCGUAUCCAACCUGCCCCACGGUGAGGGAUAACCCGCGGAAACGCGGCCUAAUACCUCAUGGCCUCCGAGCUUGACAUCAACCUUGGAGUAAAGAUUCAUUGCCGUGGGAUGGGGAUGCGUCUGAUUAGCUUGUUGGCGGGGCAACGGCCCACCAAGGCGACGAUCAGUAGGGGUUCUGAGAGGAAGGUCCCCCCACAUUGGAACUGAGACACGGUCCAAACUCCUACGGGAGCAGCAGUGAGGAAUAUUGGUCAAUGGACGGGAGUCUGAACCAGCCAAGUAGCGUGCAGGACGACGGCCCUAUGGGUUGUAAACUGCUUUUAUAGGGGGAUAAAGUGUGCCACGUGUGGCAUAUUGCAGGUACCCUAUGAAUAAGGAACCGGCUAAUUCCGUGCCAGCAGCCG